Molecule: ribosomal RNA, 492 nt
Filed under: uncultured bacterium
Lineage: Bacteria
Description: partial 16S ribosomal RNA
Rfam family: Bacterial small subunit ribosomal RNA
Source: RNAcentral
AGUGAACGCUGGCGGUAGGCCUAACACAUGCAAGUCGAACGGCAGCACAGUAAGAGCUUGCUCUUACGGGUGGCGAGUGGCGGACGGGUGAGGAAUACAUCGGAAUCUACUUUUUCGUGGGGGAUAACGUAGGGAAACUUACGCUAAUACCGCAUACGACCUACGGGUGAAAGUAGGGGAUCUUCGGACCUUGCGCGAUUGAAUGAGCCGAUGUCGGAUUAGCUAGUUGGCGGGGUAAAGGCCCACCAAGGCGACGAUCCGUAGCUGGUCUGAGAGGAUGGUCAGCCACACUGGAACUGGGACACGGUCCAGGCUCCUACGGGAGGCAGCAGUGGGGAAUAUUAGACAAUGGGCGCAAGCCUGAUCCAGCCAUACCGCGUGGGUGAAGAAGGCCUUCGGGUUGUAAAGCCCUUUUGUUGGGAAAGAAAAGCAGCAGGUUAAUACCCCGCUGUUCUGACGGUACCCAAAGAAUAAGCACCGGCUAACUUCGUG